GUGGGGAAUCUUGCGCAAUGGGCGAAAGCCUGACGCAGCAACGCCGCGUGAGUGAUGAAGGUCUUCGGAUCGUAAAGCUCUUUCGGCAGGGAAGAACGGCUUCCGGGUGAACAAUCCGGGGGCGUGACGGUACCUGCAGAAGAAGCACCGGCUAACUCUGUGCCAGCAGCCGCGGUAAUACAGAGGGUGCAAGCGUUGUUCGGAAUUAUUGGGCGUAAAGCGCGUGUAGGCGGGAUGGCAAGUCGGGUGUGAAAGCCCUCAGCUCAACUGAGGAAGUGCGCCCGAAACUACCGUUCUUGAGUGCCAGAGAGGGUGGCGGAAUUCCCGGUGUAGAGGUGAAAUUCGUAGAUAUCGGGAGGAACACCAGUGGCGAAGGCGGCCACCUGGAUGGACACUGACGCUGAGACGCGAAAGCGUGGGGAGCAAACAGGAUUAGAUACCCGGGUAGUCC
This 451-nucleotide ribosomal RNA is filed under the name uncultured bacterium. RNAcentral describes it as "bacterial SSU rRNA". It matches the Rfam family "Bacterial small subunit ribosomal RNA", at positions 354 to 796 of the family's 1533-position model. The record is from RNAcentral.